UACGGAGGGUGCAAGCAUUGAUCGGAAUUACUGGGCGUAAAGGGCGCGUAGGCGGCUUUAAAAGUCGGAUGUGAAAUUCCGGGGCUCAACCCCGGAGCUGCAUUUGAAACUUUAGAGCUAGAGUACAGUUAGGGAAAACAGAAUUCCACGUGUAGCGGUGAAAUGCGUAGAUAUGUGGAAGAAUACCGGUGGUGAAGACGGUUUUCUGGGCUGUAACAGACGCUGAGGCGCGAAAGCAAGGGGAGCAAACAGG
RNAcentral lists this ribosomal RNA (253 nucleotides) under uncultured bacterium. RNAcentral's name for it is "partial 16S ribosomal RNA". It matches the Rfam family "Bacterial small subunit ribosomal RNA", at positions 524 to 776 of the family's 1533-position model. The record is from RNAcentral.